AGCAUAUCAAUAAGCGGAGGAAAAGAAAACCAACAGGGAUUACCUCAGUAACGGCGAGUGAAGCGGUAAAAGCUCAAAUUUGAAAUCUGGCUCUUUUAGAGUCCGAAUUGUAAUUUGUAGAAGAUGCUUCGGGUGUGGUUCCGGUCUAAGUUCCUUGGAACAGGACGUCAUAGAGGGUGAGAAUCCCGUAUGUGACUGGAUACCUAUGCUCAUGUGAAGCUCUUUCGACGAGUCGAGUUGUUUGGGAAUGCAGCUCAAAAUGGGAGGUAUAUUUCUUCUAAAGCUAAAUAUUGGCCAGAGACCGAUAGCGCACAAGUAGAGUGAUCGAAAGAUGAAAAGCACUUUGGAAAGAGAGUUAAACAGUACGUGAAAUUGUUGAAAGGGAAGCGCUUGCAAUCAGACUUGCACUUGGUGUUCAUCAGGGUCUCGUACCCUGUGUACUUCAUCAAGUUCAGGCCAGCAUCAGUUUGAGUGGUUAGAUAAAGGCUUAGAGAAUGUGGCCCUCUUCGGGGGGUGUUAUAGCUCUAGGUGCAAUGUAGCCUACUUGGACUGAGGACCGCGCUUCGGCUAGGAUGCUGGCGUAAUGGUUGUAAGCGACCCGUCUUGAAACACGGACCAAGGAGUGUACCUAAUAUGCGAGUGUUUGGGUGUUAAACCCAUACGCGUAAUGAAAGUGAACGCUGGUGAGAACCCUUAAGGGUGCAUCAUCGACCGAUCUUGAUGUCUUCGGAUGGAUUUGAGUAAGAGCAUAUUGGGUGCGACCCGAAAGAUGGUGAUCUAUACGUGAAUAGGGUGAAGCCAGAGGAAACUCUGGUGGAGGCUCGCAGCGGUUCUGACGUGCAAAUCGAUCGUCAAAUUUGCGUAUAGGGGCGAAAGACUAAUCGA
This 885-nucleotide ribosomal RNA is filed under the name Botrytis paeoniae. RNAcentral describes it as "LSU rRNA". It matches the Rfam family "Eukaryotic large subunit ribosomal RNA", at positions 37 to 938 of the family's 3401-position model. Lineage: Eukaryota; Fungi; Ascomycota; Leotiomycetes; Helotiales; Sclerotiniaceae. The record is from RNAcentral.